GAUUCCUGGUACUGGAAAAAACAAACAAACAAACAACAAACAAACAAACAAAACAAAUUUAAAAAAAGAGAUAGGGGCCCUGGAUUCAAGUUCCACUAAAUGUGAGGCAGAAGCAAGAAGACCCAAAUGCGCUUCUGGCAGCUUGCAGAGUCCCGCGGAUUUGGAGUUGCUCCUUGGCAACCCACUCCCUCGCGCGCCCAAACUCCUGCAAGCCCAAGUGACCCCUCUCGUCUCGCCCAUCCACGUGAGUGUCCUGGCGCGCGGGGCUUCAGUUAUCCGCGGAUCAAACCACUGUGAGGGUCAGCACGAGGGGAGGGGCGCUGUGGGUAUGGACUUCAUAAAGGAAGAAAGCUAUCCAGCUAUGUUUUUGUAUUGGGGUGAGAAGUAGUCUUUGUACUCGCAUCGGCCAUCCAAUUCCUUCUGUAGUUUGGGAUUGUCCGUUCUUGUGUCGGGUCAGUAGAGGAGUCUAAAACCCAGACUCGUAAAGGGGGGAUUUAUGAGUAAGCUAAACAGGUUAUCUAGCUAUAGACGAAGAUAGCCCAAGGAGAAAUUUGUUGGAACUUGCAAUUUUCCAUGGUAUAGCUUUUUAAGUUGCAUCAUAUUUUCAUGCAGUUCCGCAUUUUGAAAUGAACUCUGGAACCUGCUGGGUCUUCCAAUAGUCGGGUCCUCCCCAAAUUGCCAGAAGGGAGUAGGAAAGCAGCCAGUGUCAUUUUGGACGUAACCAUCCGCUGCCAUACAUGGGGUACUCAAAGUUCCCCGUGAGUUUAGUGGCUUCCCAGAGCAAGUUUACUGAUAGGAACGGAGCACUCUUUUCUCACGAAAACCCCGUUGGGGUUAGUGGCAGACACUCUCCUUUGCAUCGGAGUUCCUCCGGGCGUUACGGGGGAAUUGGGGUUUGGGUUCUCCCCCACGAUCCAGUUGGUAUGGCCCCCAGGCACAGGCCCAGAGCCCAGCGCGGGCCGGCGCUGUGCGCCCUGGGAGCCCGUGGCGCGCGGCGGAAACGGUAGACGACUGUCGCGGGUGCGGCGCCUGAGGUGGCUGAGGAGCGGGCAGAGCCCGCGCGGCAGCAGCGGCCCAGGCGGAUCCCGAGGUGAGGGCGGAGCUGGCGCGGAAGGCAGACCCCGGCCUGGCCGUGUGGUCCUCGCUGCGGCCCACCGAGGAGCCACCGCGGAAGCGGGCCGGCCGUAGUGCGCCGUGGAGGCGGCCGGGCCCGAGGGCAGCGCGACAGAGAACGGCGAGAUGGACGAGCCCUACUUCAGCCACCGCAAAGGUUUCGCGGAUGGCGCGAGAGAGGAAGAGUUGUUUGGCAGUGCACGAAAAGAUUGGCCUCCUGAAGCAGAUGGAAUUGAUUCGGUGAUUAUAGUAGACAGUGUUCCUCAGUUGGGACGUGACUGACUUGAUGUCAUCUGCAAGAUCUUCUACAAAUCUGGUAAAAUCAGAAAUGACUAUUUUCCUGAAGAGAAUGGAAAGACAAAACGGGAGGACAUCACACAGCGUGCCCAGUUCCACUCCCUGCACUUCCACUUUGUCCUCUGCGUGUGCUGGGACACUAGGGUGUCCCCCGGGGAUUUGAAGAGGGGAUCCAGUCUUCAAGAGAGUCCUGGCUAGAACAUGAACCUGAAGGCUUCUGACAAGGACAAGGAGCCGAGGGGCAUCAUCCCACUGGAGAACCUCAGCAUCAGAGAGGAGGAGGGCCCAUGGAAAGCCAACUGCUUUGAGCUUUACAAUCCCAGCCACAAAGAGCAGGUCAUCAAAGCCUGCAAGACAGAGGCUGACGGCCCGUGUAUUGCUUCUCUGCACAGAGCCGUGAAGAGAAGGAUGAGUGGGUGAAAUCCAUCAACAAGCAUCAGCAGGGAUCCUUCCUAUGACAUGUUGGCAACGAGGAAAAGGAGGAUUGCCAAUAAGAAAUAGAGCUGCCCUGGCCCUGCAGGCUACAUGGUUCAACACCUGCUUUACCUCCCAAGUGAGCAGCAGGAAGCAGGAGUCCCUGCCUCCCAGGACCACAGAAUAGGAGUGAUUCAGACACAGGCUCGACACCGUGAAGAUUCUGCUCUAAGUCACCUGGACCUAAUCCCAACAGAGUGGCUAUGUCAGGUACCACAUGGAGCUGAGAAGGACCAAUUCCCUUCGGCAAAUCGCUGAAAUGUUAAUGUGAAGCUAGAGCAAAUGCCACAUUCCCUCCAGUCCUGGCAGCAGGUGUCUGCCUGUACCCCUGUGGUGGUCUCAUCGUUUCUCAGGCCUGCUUCUCUUCACACCCAUGACAACUGCACCAAAACCAGGGGCCACAGGAGCCACGGGCCUGCCCUGCCUGGGCAUCCCCAAGGUAACACAUUUCUCCUCAGUGUCUAGGGCAGAGCCUAGCAAACUUCCUUUUCUGUGAAAGUCCACGUGUCAAACACUUAAGAGUGUGGCGGGCUGUGCAUCUCGUCUGCGACUGCUCACCCCGUCAAGAGUGACAGCAGCUUGCAGAUCACGGGCUGUGCUUCAGCCAAAGUCUACAGACACUGACAUCUGAAUUUCACACAUUCUUCAGGUGAAACACAGUACUACUCCUCUUUGGGAGUUUUGAAAACAUGAAAGCCAUUCUUACCUCACGGGUGAUGUGAGACAGGUGCAGGGCCAGCUUUGGCCUUCGAGAAACAGCUUGCCAACCUGUGCCCCAGGCCCCGAAUCCUAUCGCUUUCAUUCUUAACAAGCUUCUGAAGGAUCCUCGGCAGGGAACCAGUUAGAAAGGGGGAGGGGCUGUCCAAGAGCAAUCAGAGCACAAACAGCCGCUAAAUUAUGAGAAGACACAGUCUACACACAAGAAUCCAAGAUGCCCAGUAGCCUGGAGUGAGACAGCAAUGCCAGGAGCCUCAAAGGCAUCACUGGUAGAGGUGGCCCCUAACAUUUGUAACUGCCCAUGUCAUCACAUUAUGAGUUAGGAUACACUGUGUGUGCUUUAAGGAAUCAGCAGAGUAAAGCGAAUAGUGCAAAAGCAUUGCUACCAAAAAUGCUUGGAAAACAGAGAAAUUCUCCCUUGUAAGCAAAUACUCAGACACCCGGAGCACCAUAAAUUCCAGGUCCACGUAACCAUCCUUCAGUGCUAACGGAGCAGCAUCAAGUACCCACACUACACAGGGAAAACGAUUCACACAGAGUUUGGGAGUCAACAGGGGUGAGGCCAGAGCCCUGUGUUACCCCAGUGCCCUUUCAAGGCACUUGAGGUUCCAUCUCCAUGUGUGAGUCACCGUUUCCAAAAAAACUUAUCAAGAGUUUUUCUCUUCUCAGUUCCAAGAAUCUCCUCUUACCCUGGGCAUACUCCAACAUGUGGCACCUGUCGGCCCUGCUCUCCAUCCUUAAAUGCUUGGUUUUCUUUUGGAAAAGGCUGUUGAUGUCCACAGCCAGGCCAUUGGCGAGCAGGAAGCUGCCCUCGGGUCUCUGGAAAUGGUGGACAGUCUCACAUCUCAAGGCCUUCAAGGUCAGUGUCAGAGUACACUACCAGAACACGUGGAUCCAGCCGAUACCUGCAGAAGCAGCGGCCAGAAAUUAGCAACCCAAACACCAGCACCACCUCAGACAGGACCUGGCACUGUCGUGACCACUUACUGAGGACGCUCAAUGUACAGGCACAGAGGGAAACUGUGGGCCAGUAAGCCCGGAUGCGGCCUGCUUGUUGGUGACACCCUGAUGACUGGUGACCAGGCGGGGAGAGGACUGACCGGGAUGACGAGUGGAAUGAGGGUUCUUAAAACAGACUCCCGUGACUGCCUGUGCAAAUGCGCUAUUGAAUAAUGUAAAUGAAGUUUCCAGCAGCCUCUGUCCCCCCAUGGGUACCCAGUGUAAGAAAGAUCCUCAACUCUGCUGGGAGAGAAGGUGACCCCACCCUCCCUCCAGUCUCCUCUGAGAGGGGAGUCAAGGAAGAUGCUGCCAUGUUGAAGGAGCAUCAUCUUGAAGAAGCUGUGGCAGCACUGCGGCAUCGGGUGGCAGCACUAGUUCUCCAAGGGUGCAGAGCUGCCCAUCUUGAGAGAGUGCAGACACCGGACCUUCAUGUUCCGGCCUCUGUGGGACACACAGCCUGGGUCUCCCAGAGGGCACCAGGAGCUAAGGCAACCUAGCGAGCCAUUCAAACACAGCACGCCCUUUACAGUCAAGGCUCCCUGUCAUCCCAAGUGAAGCAGCCAUGUCAGGGACUGCAAGUCACCCCCCAUCAUACUU
Molecule: long non-coding RNA, 4197 nt
Organism: Chinchilla lanigera (long-tailed chinchilla)
Lineage: Eukaryota; Metazoa; Chordata; Mammalia; Rodentia; Chinchillidae
Exons: 12
Source: RefSeq, a predicted model, not a curated record